RNAcentral lists this ribosomal RNA (377 nucleotides) under uncultured bacterium. Its description in RNAcentral is "bacterial SSU rRNA". It matches the Rfam family "Bacterial small subunit ribosomal RNA", at positions 523 to 898 of the family's 1533-position model. The record is from RNAcentral.
AUACGGAGGGUGCGAGCGUUAAUCGGAAUUACUGGGCGUAAAGCGUGCGUAGGCGGUUGUCUAAGUCAGAUGUGAAAGCCCCGGGCUUAACCUGGGAACUGCAUUUGAUACUGGAUGACUAGAGUUUAAUAGAGGAGAGUGGAAUUUCAGGUGUAGCGGUGAAAUGCGUAGAGAUCUGAAGGAACACCAGUGGCGAAGGCGACUCUCUGGAUUAAAACUGACGCUGAGGUACGAAAGCGUGGGUAGCAAACAGGAUUAGAUACCCUGGUAGUCCACGCCGUAAACGAUGUCAACUAGCCGUUGGGCCUUUUAACAGGCUUAGUGGCGCAGCUAACGCAUUAAGUUGACCGCCUGGGGAGUACGGCCGCAAGGUUAAA